UACAGAGGGGGCAAGCGUUGUUCGGAAUUACUGGGCGUAAAGGGCGCGUAGGCGGCCUGUUAAGUCGAACGUGAAAUCCCCGGGCUCAACCCGGGAACUGCGUCCGAUACCGGCAGGCUUGAAUUCGGGAGAGGGAUGUGGAAUUCCAGGUGUAGCGGUGAAAUGCGUAGAUAUCUGGAGGAACACCGGUGGCGAAGGCGGCAUCCUGGACCGAUAUUGACGCUGAUGCGCGAAAGCCAGGGGAGCAAACGGG
Molecule: ribosomal RNA, 253 nt
Filed under: uncultured bacterium
Lineage: Bacteria
Description: partial 16S ribosomal RNA
Rfam family: Bacterial small subunit ribosomal RNA
Source: RNAcentral